RNAcentral lists this unclassified non-coding RNA (439 nucleotides) under fungal sp. RNAcentral's name for it is "partial internal transcribed spacer region". The stretch from base 1 to 46 matches the Rfam family "Eukaryotic small subunit ribosomal RNA", at positions 1786 to 1831 of the family's 1831-position model. Lineage: Eukaryota; Fungi. The record is from RNAcentral.
AAGUCGUAACAAGGUUUCCGUAGGUGAACCUGCGGAAGGAUCAUUAACCAGUGCGCCCGGGGCGCAUUACCUGAUUAAGUUCAUUGUGGUUAAUGCCAUCUUUAUCACUCGGGAGGCUUUUCCAACCUUCCGGGGAAGGUUGUUGUGGAGCUUUUCGAGGGGUUUAGUUCGGUAAGAUUCGAGAUCCGUAUGGGGAUAGUACCAUGCCUGUAAAAUAAAUAUAUUUCCACCAAAUGUGCAAAAGUUCAGCGAAUCCUUUGGUAGGCCUCGGGAAGCAUUCUCGUCCUCCAUCCAACCCUACGGAAAGAACUCCGGAAGAAGCGUUGGAGGAGUGCCGCCAGGAUCAUCAUCAUUAAUGAACCUUUCCUAAAUCAAGGACUGAAAUUUCCAUAUGAUACGAAAUAAAAUAUAACUUUCAGCAACGGAUCUCUUGGUUCUC